GAGUAAAGACCUCGGUCGCUUUGGGAGGAGCUCGCUUACUAUCAGCUUGUUGGUAGGGUAACGGCCUACCAAGGCUAUGACGGUUAGGGGGUGUGAGAGCAUGACCCCCAGCAUUGGCACUGAAACACUGGCCAAACACCUACGGGUGGCUGCAGUCGAGAAUCUUCCACAAUGGGGGAAACCCUGAUGGAGCGAUGCUGCGUGCGGGAUGAAGGCCUUCGGGUAGUAAACCGCUUUUGUAGGGGACGAAAUUUUUGACGGUACCCUUUCGAAUAAGAGGUUGCUAACUCUGUGCCAGCAGCAGCGGUAAUACAGAGACCUCAAGCGUUAUCCGGAUUUACUGGGCGUAAAGCGUCUGUAGGGGGUUUAUUAAGUUCCAAGUAAAAUUUCAAGGCUCAACUUUGAAUUCGCUUGGAAAACUAAUAAACUGGAGUCUAGCAGAGGUGCAUGGAACUUGUGGUGUAGGAGUGAAAUCCGUUGAUAUCACAAGGAACACCAAAGGCGAAGGCAUUGCACUGGGCUAGCACUGACCCUGAGAGACGAAAGCGUGGGGAGCAAAACGGAUUAGAUACCCGUGUAGUCCACGCCCUAAGCGAUGAAUGCUAAAUGUUCGGGGGAU
RNAcentral lists this ribosomal RNA (619 nucleotides) under uncultured organism. RNAcentral describes it as "bacterial SSU rRNA". It matches the Rfam family "Bacterial small subunit ribosomal RNA", at positions 199 to 832 of the family's 1533-position model. The record is from RNAcentral.